This 253-nucleotide ribosomal RNA is filed under the name uncultured bacterium. RNAcentral describes it as "partial 16S ribosomal RNA". It matches the Rfam family "Bacterial small subunit ribosomal RNA", at positions 524 to 776 of the family's 1533-position model. The record is from RNAcentral.
UACGUAGGGUGCGAGCGUUGUCCGGAAUUAUUGGGCGUAAAGGGCUCGUAGGCGGUUUGUCGCGUCGGGGGUGAAAACUCAGGGCUUAACCCUGAGCCUGCUUCCGAUACGGGCAGACUAGAGGUAUGCAGGGGAGAACGGAAUUCCUGGUGUAGCGGUGAAAUGCGCAGAUAUCAGGAGAAACACCGGUGGCGAAGGCGGUUCUCUGGGCAUUACCUGACGCUGAGGAGCGAAAGUGUGGGGAGCGAACAGG